AAUAGAGUGCCUGAUAAAAGGGCUAUUUUGAUAGAAUAGAUCAUAUAAAUACUUAUCUCUAUUA
Molecule: transfer RNA, 64 nt
Filed under: Trigonopterus selaruensis
Lineage: Eukaryota; Metazoa; Arthropoda; Insecta; Coleoptera; Curculionidae
Description: tRNA-Ile
Source: RNAcentral